RNAcentral lists this ribosomal RNA (500 nucleotides) under uncultured bacterium. Its description in RNAcentral is "partial 16S ribosomal RNA". It matches the Rfam family "Bacterial small subunit ribosomal RNA", at positions 29 to 523 of the family's 1533-position model. The record is from RNAcentral.
AUUGAACGCUGGCGGAAUGCUUUACACAUGCAAGUCGAACGGCAGCACGGGGGCAACCCUGGUGGCGAGUGGCGAACGGGUGAGUAAUACAUCGGAACGUGCCCAGUCGUGGGGGAUAACGUAGCGAAAGUUACGCUAAUACCGCAUACGAUCUAUGGAUGAAAGCGGGGGACCGUAAGGCCUCGCGCGAUUGGAGCGGCCGAUGUCAGAUUAGGUAGUUGGUGGGGUAAAGGCCCACCAAGCCGACGAUCUGUAGCUGGUCUGAGAGGACGACCAGCCACACUGGGACUGAGACACGGCCCAGACUCCUACGGGAGGCAGCAGUGGGGAAUUUUGGACAAUGGGCGCAAGCCUGAUCCAGCCAUUCCGCGUGCAGGACGAAGGCCUUCGGGUUGUAAACUGCUUUUGUACGGAACGAAAAGGUCCUGGUUAAUACCCGGGGCUCAUGACGGUACCGUAGGAAUAAGCACCGGCUAACUACGUGCCAGCAGCCGCGGUAA